This 497-nucleotide ribosomal RNA is filed under the name uncultured bacterium. Its description in RNAcentral is "partial 16S ribosomal RNA". It matches the Rfam family "Bacterial small subunit ribosomal RNA", at positions 28 to 507 of the family's 1533-position model. The record is from RNAcentral.
GAUGAACGCUGGCGGCGUGCCUAAUACAUGCAAGUCGAGCGGACAGACGAGGAGCUUGCUCCUCUGACGUUAGCGGCGGACGGGUGAGUAACACGUGGAUAACCUACCUAUAAGACUGGGAUAACUUCGGGAAACCGGAGCUAAUACCGGAUAAUAUAUUGAACCGCAUGGUUCAAUAGUGAAAGACGGUUUUGCUGUCACUUAUAGAUGGAUCCGCGCCGCAUUAGCUAGUUGGUAAGGUAACGGCUUACCAAGGCAACGAUGCGUAGCCGACCUGAGAGGGUGAUCGGCCACACUGGAACUGAGACACGGUCCAGACUCCUACGGGAGGCAGCAGUAGGGAAUCUUCCGCAAUGGGCGAAAGCCUGACGGAGCAACGCCGCGUGAGUGAUGAAGGUCUUCGGAUCGUAAAACUCUGUUAUUAGGGAAGAACAAAUGUGUAAGUAACUAUGCACGUCUUGACGGUACCUAAUCAGAAAGCCACGGCUAACUACGCG